CUCCUGUGCUGGUAACUUUGGAGGGUGACACCUGACUUCUCUUGUACUUCUCUCUCCCAACCUGUUUUUCAACCACACUGCUCACUGACAGUACCAGCUUGUGGCUUUUUUAGUUAAAAAAGGCUGUUUACAAGAAGCCAGUUCAGCUACUGGAUGGGCAGACAUUGUGACAAGGGUGGCUUCUAGCAGCAUGGAGAUGUCUGCCUUGGAGGCACCUGCUCUGCAGCAUGGGUUCUGAGGUCUCUGAGACCCAUGAGGAGGCUUCAGUGCAUCCUCCAACCAUGGCUUCUCGGCACCACAGCACCAGUCUUGCCCUGGACAGUCUGUAGGUUCUGGGGUGCUGCCGAAGGUUGAUGGUGCUGGGCAGCCAUUGAGUGUCCAUGGGCAGCCACACCAGGAAGAAGCAGAUGUUUCUUUGUUCACUGAGGCUCCCACAUCUUCUCUGGUCACUUUUCAGUCUUAUGAACUAUACUGGGGGGAAGAGGAGUGCUAACUUGCUUCCUCAGGCAAGUUUAUUUUUUAUUGUAAUGUUUUGUGAAUAAACAUCCUGUUUAACCUACCGUUUACCCAUUUCUCUUAAAGGUUUUUUGUUCCUGCUUCUUCCCCUUCCACCUCCUUUAGCCAACUGACCUUCAUUCCCAAACUACACCUCAGGCUUGAAAUUGGUCUAGCACUGGCCUUGAGAUUCCCACAGACACGGGUGUUUGAAACUGCACUCGGGUUUUAACUCCACAGUAUGGCUCCAUCUCCAGGUCCAACAUUAGGAUUUACAAAAUAAGAGGCAGUAAGGCCACCUUCAUGUGAGCGGAAAGGUCAAUUUCUUUCUAGUGAUGCCACUUCUUAUUUGAAAGAUCUAUUUCCCAGGAACAGGUUAAGGGAGACAGGUCACUGUCUCCACUAGGAAGAGAUAAAAGGCCACAGUCAAAUAUAAAAACAAGUUCUGAAGAAUUAUUGAAAUAAAGUCACAGCUUUGAAAGUAUCAGUUCAGGCUGAGUAUUGCCAGAUUGGCAAGAAAAUGCUAUUCAGGCUCUUUUCUUGUGAAAUGGAGGCAUUUCUAUGGCUGGCAUCUGAUUCAGCAAUUUCACAGCAAUGGAUCUCAUGCAAUUUAUCUAUGGGUUUUGAGCAUUCAAUUUCAGUCACUCCUAAAGAAUGCCAUCAUGAGUUUAUUAUGCAGUUGAUAGUAUUUCUCUGUGAACACAGGAGAAGGAAACUCUUUUGGAUGGCAAGAAAGUGUACGAAUUUAGGAUUAGUGUUAGAAUCCACAGAACGAUAUAUAAAGAUGUAUAUACAUAAACAUGUAUUUGGACUGUACUGCUUACUUUGUUAAUAUUGACUUGUGUUUUGAUUACUGGGAUGAUUCUCAUUCACAUUUAACUGCUGGCUCCCCAUAGAACGAGCAGGAAACCUUCCUCGGGAAUACAGAACGGAGGUAGGACACCUUA
This is a long non-coding RNA of Neopsephotus bourkii (Bourke's parrot), 1442 nucleotides long. RefSeq lists it as uncharacterized. Lineage: Eukaryota; Metazoa; Chordata; Aves; Psittaciformes; Psittacidae. The record is from RefSeq and is a predicted model, not a curated record. The transcript is spliced from 3 exons.